RNAcentral lists this unclassified non-coding RNA (248 nucleotides) under Hevea brasiliensis (rubber tree). The record is from RNAcentral. Lineage: Eukaryota; Viridiplantae; Streptophyta; Magnoliopsida; Malpighiales; Euphorbiaceae.
CCGCUUCUCAACUAGUGUAGAUGGAAUCUUCGCAGCGGGAGACUGCCGUCGAGGCCAGUCCCUUGUGGUUUGGGCCAUCUCUGAAGGACGGCAAGCAGCUGCUCAGGUGGACAAGUAUCUCUCAAAGGAAGACAAGAACCUUCCUGUAGGUGAAGGAGGCUAUGAAGGCGUUGGUGAAAGCUCCCAAGAUUACAACAAUAGGCAACAGGAUAGUAGUAGUAGCAGCAGACAUACAGUAAUGACAUAGG